RNAcentral lists this long non-coding RNA (1213 nucleotides) under Rattus norvegicus (Norway rat). RNAcentral's name for it is "long non-coding RNA NONRATT006647". The record is from RNAcentral. Lineage: Eukaryota; Metazoa; Chordata; Mammalia; Rodentia; Muridae.
AAGGAGGUCAAAGGAAGGAGAAUGGAGUUGCCGUGCUUGGAGAGAAGAGAACCGGGCUGCCAUGUGAGAUCUCAAAAUGAUGUAACUCUGAGGGACCCACUCCUCGUCACCUACUUUUGCCAGUGAAGUUCCUCCUAAAGAUGCCACAGCCUUCACAAGAGCCCAACAAGCUAAAGACUAAAGCAAGAGCUGAUGGGAGACGUUCCAGAUUUUUGCCACAUGCCUAAGCAACUUUCUGGGAAGGGAUGGGCAUGUUGAACAGGAACAAACAGGGGACAGUGAACUGGUCCCAGGGCAGUAAGUUCAGGACACCAGCGCUGAACUUACAGCAGGAGGAAACCACUAACUAAUGCCAAAGAACAUAUUCAGAUAAACUCCUGGCAUUUGUUUAAAAUCUUGGAAACCAAGCUAAAUUGCCUUCCCAAUGGUGUCAGUAAGCGGGACCAUAGGCGGGAUGGGGUAUGCCAAUGCCUUCCUUGUGGCUUGUCUUUGGCUGCUCUAAGAGGAGCAGCCGUGUACACAAGCUGGAAAUCAGCAGCUGUGGAAUGCCAGGGCCACCAACUCCUCAUCUAGUGCUCAGUACCUGCCCAAGGUUUAUCACACACGGUGCUUUGUGUGAGUUGCACGGUGAGCCCUCAGUUAAGAUGAGAACAAAUAUGCCAAGUGUGAUGAUUCAUGCUUGUAAUCUCAGAAUACAAGAGGCCAAGACAGGAGGAUUGCCAAGAGCUGAUUCUAGCCAGGGCUACACAGUAAAAUCCUGUCAAAAAAAACACCAAACAAAACCAAAAAACAGAAACCAAGAAGAUGAAAACAAGAUGGGAGGAAUUUGGUUUUGCUUUGUCAAGGGACAAAAUCGCAAUCUUAACUGGCUUUAUUUUCAAUUUCAGAAUCUGGCAAUAUUUUUCAUUGCAUGAGAGUAAGUAUUCCAAUAAGCCAGGCUGAGGGGGUUGGUUUCGUAGACACAAAACUGCUGAAGAAAACAAAAACAACCCCCAAAGUAUAGGUCAUUUCCAAGUUGUGUUUUCUGUACAGCGGGGACAGACAGAGAGAUAGAAAAGCAAUUGGUUGACAAGAGGCUCUUCCGACCGGUGGACGGAUUAAAGCAGGAGCUGCUUAAUUUCACAGUACUUAUAACUGGCUCGUACACAAUGUUUGAGCGUGGUGUGUCCAAUCUUGAUUUCUCAGGUCAGAUAAAAAGCUUAGUUUCAAUUUC